CAGGUCUUGACAUCCUCUGACACUCCUAGAGAUAGGAAUUUCCCCUUCGGGGGACAGAGUGACAGGUGGUGCAUGGUUGUCGUCAGCUCGUGUCGUGAGAUGUUGGGUUAAGUCCCGCAACGAGCGCAACCCUUGAUCUUAGUUGCCAGCAUUCAGUUGGGCACUCUAAGGUGACUGCCGGUGACAAACCGGAGGAAGGUGGGGAUGACGUCAAAUCAUCAUGCCCCUUAUGACCUGGGCUACACACGUGCUACAAUGGAUGGUACAAAGGGCAGCAAAGCCGCGAGGCCUAGCCAAUCCCAUAAAACCAUUCUCAGUUCGGAUUGUAGGCUGCAACUCGCCUACAUGAAGCCGGAAUCGCUAGUAAUCGCGGAUCAGCAUGCCGCGGCGAAUACGUUCCCGGGCCUUGUACACACCGCCCGUCACACCACGAGAGUUUGUAACACCCGAAGUCGGUGGGGUAACCGCAAGGGGCCAGCCGCCUAAGGUGGGACAGAUGAUUGGGGUG
RNAcentral lists this ribosomal RNA (508 nucleotides) under uncultured bacterium. RNAcentral describes it as "bacterial SSU rRNA". It matches the Rfam family "Bacterial small subunit ribosomal RNA", at positions 975 to 1482 of the family's 1533-position model. The record is from RNAcentral.